CGAUUAGGAAGCACCGGCUAACUCCGUGCCAGCAGCCGCGGUAAUACGGGGGGUGCAAGCGUUGUUCGGAAUUAUUGGGCGUAAAGCGCGUGUAGGCGGUUUGUUUAGUCUGAUGUGAAAGCCCUGGGCUCAACCUGGGAAGUGCAUUGGAAACUGGCAGACUUGAAUACGGGAGAGGGUAGUGGAAUUCCUAGUGUAGGAGUGAAAUCCGUAGAUAUUAGGAGGAACACCGGUGGCGAAGGCGGCUGCCUGGACCGAUAUUGACGCUGAGACGCGAAAGCGUGGGUAGCAAACAGGAUUAGAUACCCUGGUAGUCCACGCCGUAAACGAUGAGUACUAGGUGUCGCGGGU
Molecule: ribosomal RNA, 351 nt
Filed under: uncultured Geobacter sp.
Lineage: Bacteria; Pseudomonadati; Thermodesulfobacteriota; Desulfuromonadia; Geobacterales; Geobacteraceae
Description: bacterial SSU rRNA
Rfam family: Bacterial small subunit ribosomal RNA
Source: RNAcentral